This 407-nucleotide ribosomal RNA is filed under the name uncultured bacterium. RNAcentral describes it as "partial 16S ribosomal RNA". It matches the Rfam family "Bacterial small subunit ribosomal RNA", at positions 30 to 526 of the family's 1533-position model. The record is from RNAcentral.
AUUGAACGCUAGCGGGAUGCCUUACACAUGCAAGUCGAACGGAGUGGCGAACGGGUGAGUAAUGUAUCGGAACGUGCCCAGUAGCGGGGGAUAACUACGCUAAAGCGUAGCUAAUACCGCAUACUCUUGGCGCGGCCGAUAUCGGAUUAGCUAGUUGGUGGGGUAACGGCUCACCAGGGCGACGAUCCGUAGCUGGUUUGAGAGGACGACCAUCCAAACGGGGAAGGAGACACGGCCCAGACUCCUACGGGAGGCAGCAGUGGGGAAUGUGGGACAAGUGGGGAAACCCUGAUCAAGCCAUCCCGCGUGUGCGAUGAAGGCCUUCGGGUUGUAAAGCACUUUUGGCAGGAAAGCGGUACCUGCAGAAUAAGCACCGGCUAACUACGUGCCAGCAGCCGCGGUAAUUC